GACGAACGCUGGCGGCGUGCUUAACACAUGCAAGUCGAACGGUAAGGCCCUUCGGGGUACACGAGUGGCGAACGGGUGAGUAACACGUGGGUGAUCUGCCCUGCACUUCGGGAUAAGCCUGGGAAACUGGGUCUAAUACCGGAUAGGACUCCGGACUGCAUGGUCUGGGGUGGAAAGCUUUUGCGGUGUGGGAUGGGCCCGCGGCCUAUCAGCUUGGUGGUGGGGUGAUGGCCUACCAAGGCGACGACGGGUAGCCGGGCUGAGAGGGUGACCGGCCACACUGGGACUGAGAUACGAGCCAGACUCCUACGGGAGGGAGCAGUGGGGAAUAUUGCACAAUGGGCGCAAGCCUGAUGCAGCGACGCCGCGUGAGGGAUGACGGCCUUCGGGUUGUAAACCUCUUUCAGCAUCGACGAAGCGAAAGUGACGGUAGGUGCAGAAGAAGGACCGGCCAACUACGUGCCAGCCGCCGCCGUAA
This 478-nucleotide ribosomal RNA is filed under the name uncultured bacterium. Its description in RNAcentral is "partial 16S ribosomal RNA". It matches the Rfam family "Bacterial small subunit ribosomal RNA", at positions 28 to 523 of the family's 1533-position model. The record is from RNAcentral.